RNAcentral lists this ribosomal RNA (401 nucleotides) under Staphylococcus aureus. Its description in RNAcentral is "bacterial SSU rRNA". It matches the Rfam family "Bacterial small subunit ribosomal RNA", at positions 485 to 884 of the family's 1533-position model. The record is from RNAcentral. Lineage: Bacteria; Bacillati; Bacillota; Bacilli; Caryophanales; Staphylococcaceae.
AGAAAGCCACGGCUAACUACGUGCCAGCAGCCGCGGUAAUACGUAGGUGGCAAGCGUUGUCCGGAAUUAUUGGGCGUAAAGCGCGCGUAGGCGGUUUUUUAAGUCUGAUGUGAAAGCCCACGGCUCAACCGUGGAGGGUCAUUGGAAACUGGGGGACUUGAGUGCAGAAGAGGAAAGUGGAAUUCCAUGUGUAGCGGUGAAAUGCGCAGAGAUAUGGAGGAACACCAGUGGCGAAGGCGACUUUCUGGUCUGUAACUGACGCUGAUGUGCGAAAGCGUGGGGAUCAAACAGGAUUAGAUACCCUGGUAGUCCACGCCGUAAACGAUGAGUGCUAAGUGUUAGGGGGUUUCCGCCCCUUAGUGCUGCAGCUAACGCAUUAAGCACUCCGCCUGGGGAGUACG